Molecule: ribosomal RNA, 467 nt
Filed under: uncultured bacterium
Lineage: Bacteria
Description: partial 16S ribosomal RNA
Rfam family: Bacterial small subunit ribosomal RNA
Source: RNAcentral
GACGAACGCUGGCGGCGUGCUUAACACAUGCAAGUCGAACGAUGAAGCCCGGCUUGCUGGGUGGAAGAGUGGCGAACGGGUGAGUAACACGUGAGUAACCUGCUCUGAACUCUGGGAUAAGCACUGGAAACGGUGUCUAAUACUGGAUACGACCUAUCACCGCAUGGUGUGUGGGUGGAAAGAUUUAUCGGUUCUGGAUGGACUCGCGGCCUAUCAGCUAGAUGGUGAGGUAAUGGCUCACCAUGGCGACGACGGGUAGCCGGCCUGAGAGGGUGACCGGCCACACUGGGACUGAGACACGGCCCAGACUCCUACGGGAGGCAGCAGUGGGGAAUAUUGCACAAUGGGCGCAAGCCUGAUGCAGCAACGCCGCGUGAGGGAUGACGGCCUUCGGGUUGUAAACCUCUUUUAGUAGGGAAGAAGCGAAAGUGACGGUACCUGCAGAAAAAGCACCGGCUAACUACGUG